AUGCACUCCUCACAGCCGCCCGCCGUGAGCGAUUCAGCCGAUGCCGCCGCCAGCGCCCGCGCGCCACCACCCGCUCCUCCUCUCCUACCAGAUCGAGCCGCCACCUCCCUCCCCAUCCCCGCGCGCUACCAUCCGCUCCUCCUCUUCUGCCCGCGCACGCACAGCCUUGGCUCCUGCUGCUCUUCCCGAUUGAGGAGGGGGAGGAGAGCGAGAGGGGUAGCAUGGUGGCCAGCGAGGGGAGCACCAUCACGGGAGCCGCGUCCUCCCGGUCCACGGCCACGUCUUCUGCGACCGCGAUGGGCAGGGUCAACAACCUCGACCUCAAGGGCGUCGGCCUCGUCGGCGCCCUGCCCCCCACCUUCUCCUCCCUCGACGUGCUGCAGGACCUCAGCCUCUAGACCAACGCGCUCUCCGGCCCGCUCCCCUCCUUCCGCGGCAUGGCGGCCCUCCGCCACGCCUACCUCAACGACAACGCCUUCUCCUCCCUCCCCAAGGACUUCUUCGACGGCCUCGACAGCCUCGAGGAGAUCUGCCUCGACAACAACCCGCUCCUGCCAAUCCAUCUCUGUUGUUCUUCUUCUACCUCUGCCUCGACCCCUCCUCCCCUUGUAUUCUUCUUCUACCUCUGUUGUUCUUCCUUUCCACAUCACAUCUCAAGUGGUCGUGUGUAGGCACUGUACAUCCAUAUCAUCUCCUUGCAUGGUGAAGGUGACCAGGCCAUGGAGAGAAAAGCUCCUGCCAAUCGCGAUCGACAUCGUGAAGGACGGAAACAUAUCAGGUCACCUAUGUAUGCGAGAGGCUCCUAGAACACGUGUGGUGUACCUCAGAGCUGCCUUUGGAACAACCAUGUCUCAUGUGUCUGACAUUGUUGGACCGACUGGGUUGGUGUAUGCCGUUGAGUUCUCUCACCGGAGUGGUAGGGAUCUUGUCAACAUGGCCAAGAAGAGGACCAAUGUCAUCCCCAUCACUGAGGAUGCAAGGCACCCGACAAAGUAA
RNAcentral lists this ribosomal RNA (996 nucleotides) under Triticum aestivum (bread wheat). RNAcentral describes it as "partial small subunit ribosomal RNA". Lineage: Eukaryota; Viridiplantae; Streptophyta; Magnoliopsida; Poales; Poaceae. The record is from RNAcentral.